RNAcentral lists this transfer RNA (63 nucleotides) under Ixodes columnae. RNAcentral describes it as "tRNA-Met". RNAcentral also lists the same sequence under 1 other name. Lineage: Eukaryota; Metazoa; Arthropoda; Arachnida; Ixodida; Ixodidae. The record is from RNAcentral.
AUAAAGUAAGCUAAACUAAAGCUAGUGGGUUCAUACCCCAAAAAUGAAUUAAUUUCCUUUAUU